Molecule: long non-coding RNA, 29155 nt
Filed under: Panax ginseng (ginseng)
Lineage: Eukaryota; Viridiplantae; Streptophyta; Magnoliopsida; Apiales; Araliaceae
Description: long non-coding RNA (PGIN_LNC004868)
Source: RNAcentral
CCUUAAGCACCUAUGCUUCCUUGAACCUGUUUGUAAACAAACCUUAAUCCACCUGGAUUAAAUUCCUUUAGACAAGACUUAGUCUAAAAAAUAUAAGAUUACAAAUAUAAAGUUCUAAUGAUAAAAGCAAAUAAACAAUUUAACAAUGCAAUGCUAAACUAAUGAAUGCAAUAAUCAAGUAGUAAAAGAGAGAUAUCACCAAAAUUAAGCUCACAAAAAUUAGCUGAGAAUAAUCUGAAUAUGAAUUGCACAACAGCUCAAAAUUUGCACGAAGAAUAAUUUAAUAGCUCUUCAAGUAUAUAAGUGCAAAAUAUUAAUUCAAGUGUUGUGUAUUUAACUGGUAUCUCAAUUCUUCUUUUUAUAGCUCAGAAAACAACCGUUGUGAAAUAAAAUAUUUCUUUUGCAAAUUUUUAUUCUGUUAUUAAACUUUAUUUACGUUGCCAACAGAAUACAAAUAGAUAAGUAACGUUCUAAGUUUAUGUCCGUUGGAAAGUAUAUUUUAACAGAUAUAGACUAUGUCAAAGAUAUCCCACAAAGAUAAAAGGUUCCGUGUAAAUCACAUAUAGUCUAUAAUCAUAACUUCCGCGUAAUUAAUGUUACGGACUCUUUCAAGCAUAAUCCACUUAAGGAGAUAACCCACUAACAUAUCACAGAACUCUUUUUAAAAUAAAUCACUUAACAAAGUGUUAGUUCCGUAAUUCUUGCAAAGAGCCAACAAAGAAAUUUCAAAUACUUUCCAGUAUAAUAAUUAUCUUAUAUUUCCAAGAUAUAUGCAAUUAAUCCUACCAACAGAUAAUGAUCACAUCUCUGCCGCCACAAGAUUUUAUCUUUCCAACAAAUCUAAAUCAUAUGAAUUCUUCUUACACCCGUGUUAUACAGAUUAUAUAAAAACAGAAUUCUCUCAUAACACAUGGCAAUAUAAUUCAUUUAAUCCAGACAACAUAAUUUAUCAUUUUAAUUUUAUGCAUGCAUAAUAUAUAUAUACUUACCAUCUGAAAUCAGUCAUGUAGUAACAGUUAGCAUAAAAUAUAAAAUUCUUAAGCAUGCACAAAAUAUUUGAUCAUAUUUUAAUGCACACAUAAAAUGUCCUAGAGCCUUGUAUUGAAAAAUGAAGUAUUUGCAAUGUCCUAGAGCCUUCAAAGUCUUUUGACAAUAAUCCUUCAUCAACUUCCUGAAAUUUCAUAAUAAACAAAUUAGUCCAUAAUAUUAAUUCAUCAUCAAAACAAUAAGGUUAGAAUAUUAACAACUCAACAACAAAGCUAUCUUAAUAUUCAACAUUUGAAAAAUGGCUAUUAUCUUAUUUAAGUUUUAACUCCUUUUGGGUAUACAAACACAAUUUUAAUGAGGUAAUAUUACUACAUUAUGAUAGUUUGGGAUAUAUAUAUAUAUAUAUAUACAUUUUCAUAUAAUCCAUGUUCUUUAGUCUAGUCCAGUUAAUAUCAGGUAUGAACACAAUUUAAUUGGGUACUAAAAAUCCAAUUUUUCCAUAAAAAUUUAUUAUUUAAUUACACAUCAUUAUUAAAAUAAAUAUUUUAAUAGUACAUAUUUAUUUACUCCCAUAUAUUAAAAUACACAUUUAAUUAUCCCACCACACAUGAUGAGGUCACAAAAACUCAUCUUAACCAAUUAUAUGAUUUAAUUACUUUUACUAUAUAAUUUUGUAUAACAUUAUUGACAUUUAAAUGUCACACGUUAUGCUAUGUCAAUUCAUGGAUUAAUUAUAUGGUACUACUACUUAUGUAACGCCAGAGAAAAAUUGGAUUUUUAUGACAAUUAAAUUUUUAUUUGAUUAUGUGAAUUAAAUGAAUUUAAUUGAUUUAUUUUGUGAGUAAGCUAUGUGAAGGUCUUUCUAUGACCUAGAAUGUGCUAAUGUGGUUAGUAAUCUGGCUACGUGCUAGAAUUAAUUGUUUAGAAUUUCCAAGACGAAAAUAAAUAUUUUCCGAGAAAUUCCCGUAAAAACACUAUUCAUCCGUUUCUGUUCAGGGAAUAAUUUUGAAAUUCCGAGAAAUGCGUAAUGAUAGAAUAUUGAGAUAAGAUGAAAUAUCUAAUAAUAUUUCAUUUAUGGCAAAUGAAGGUUUCGCCUGCUGAAUUAAAACCUAAGGGUUGAGUGAAAUGAUUUCCGAGAAGGAAAUGAAAUGCGUAGAAGGAUUUGCGUUAUUGUUAAUCUGUGUGUUAUACUAGGGUGAUACUAUUUAGUAUCUAUGUAUAAUACGAUGAGUUAAUAUGGAGAACAAUACGAUUAUCGUACGAGUACUAUACAGAUAGAAUACGUGAUUUAUACGUAUGUAAUACGAUUAGUAUUAUGGAAUUAAGUUAAGACUUAAUGUAAAUUCGUUUGGGUUGGAUUAUGUUUUAUCCAAUCAAUUGAAUGAGCAAGCCCAAGGGAUUAAUAUGUUAAGCCCAAGUCAAGGGCCAAUAUUAGAUUGGUUAAGCCCAAUGCAAGAAAACAAAACCGUGGAUCGAACCGGUGGGUCAUCGAAUGGAUAAAACCCAUGGGGAAACCCAUGGGGAUGACCCAUGGGCAUGGUGGGCCGACCACUUGGUGUGCAAGGCAAGAAAAUCACUUGGUCACCAAGUAUUUUACUUGGUGGAAAAGUGUGGAAUAGUAAGGAGGUGGGGUGUUUAGUCCAUAUUGCCCUCCAUUUCAUUUACCUAUAAAUAGAAAGCAAGAGUUGGUCUUUUGUGAGUUUUUCAAUUGCCAACCUAGAUUAUUGAGAGAGAAAGAGAGCUAGACUCAACAAAAUCCUACACUUGGAAGCUUUGCCUUGUAGUUUUCCAAGAGUUUUCUUAAGAGUUCUUAAGGAUCCUUAAUUCUAAUUCCAUCUCUUUUGGUUUUCUUUUAUCAUGGAGAAUCAUAAAUAGGUGGUGAAUAUCUUAUAUAGUGGGAUAAGAAUGAUUACCACAGAUUCAAUCUCUAUAAGUCAUGAGAUCAUAAAAAUCAUAAGGGUUGUUAUAGCUUAAAAUCAUGAAAUUAUUGAUUGUUGAGAUUGAUUGUUAAUAAACAAUUGAACUGCAUUAAUACGUUAAUAUGUGCAUCUUGCUUGGUUAGGAUGUAGAUAUGAAGUCCAUGGAGUAUUCCAUGCGAUUUGGCUUAGAGAACAUUAGUAACGAAGUUAUAGCGAAUUUCACGGAAAUAGACGUUAAACGUCGAAAACGUAGAAAUUCCAGAUUAGUAGUCAAAAGUUGCCGUGAGACUUGAAAAUGUUGUUUUUCAAUGUCAACACGUGAGAUAGGGUAUUUAAGAGUCGUAGGUUCGAGAAUCGUCGGAUUUUGACUUAAAACUAAGAAAACGAGCAUUGAACGCUCAUUAACGUUUACGAACGCUUAGAAAAUGAACUCAAUAGUGAAUUUUGAGUUAUCGGUUUCAAAAGUGUUGAAUUCUUAUAUGAACCCAUAGAUUAUGUCAUUUAUGAUGUGUAGGCUUUUGAACGGACCAAAUCGAACUUAUAACGAAGAAGUUAUGGCUCCGAGAAACUCACCAAAAUUUUAAUCUAUGAAAAUUUUCUGGUGCUGAGGUCUGGCGCCGCGGUGCCAGACAGUGUGUUAAAUGCCACGCCACAGCAUUGGCACAGUAUAGUUGGCUACUGGAAAGUGGCGCCGCAGCGCCACUGAUAGAAGGAAAUCUCGCGCCGCAGCGCCAAGACCGAAGCAUGGGUACUGCUAAUUGGCGCCGCAGCGCCAGUCUUGUAUUGAGAUGUCAUGCCGCGACGCGGGUGCAGGGCUUUUGAUAGAUGACUUAGGUUUUGAACUUCAAUUGUUCAGGGACCUAUAUGAGUAAUGUUUGUGCACUUCAUAAGUUUAUUAAAACUAUUCCUAUACUACCUAUACUAAUGUAUAUGGUAUUGAACUUAGGAAUUGAUUGCAUGUUAGUAAGUUAUGAACAAAGAACGUAAAGUGUUAUCGAUAAACCUUAAUCGAUAAAUAACGUUGGUAGUUCACUAAUGAUGAUAGAGUCUAGUUAAUAACGUAAGAUGGUUAAUAUGUCGGGACGAAGGGUAAUAAGUCAAGUUGACUUUAAUAAUAAUACUAAGUUAACAAAGACAUAGAAGGGAAAGAAGUUGGUAGGAACAAUGUGAAUAAUUAUUUAAUAGCUAAUUACAGUGUGCUAUAUGAAUAUAUCAUGUAGAUUCUGUAAAGGUUGUGGUCAGUCGAUUAAGUUAUUUGAAGACGCUGAAAAGCAAGUUUUCUUAACGCUUGUCUAACUUCCAAGUUAGUCAAGUUUUAUGUGAUUCAUUGUACUGAAUUGCAUGACUAGUUUUAAAGAAAGGGUCAAUGCCAGAUUUAACUCGGCUAGACUACUCGUAAGAUAUAGAUUGAUUGAUAUUCAUAUCUUUCUAUAUAGAAAUGUUAACGCUAUCCUAUGCCAAGUAAUUGGUACGAAUGUGAAGGUAAGGUUUGUCUAUGAACAAACAAAAGUAUUUUUUAUCGAUUAUUCGAUGGGCACGCGAGUUUGCCAAAUGUUAAACUUAAAUACGUUUAACGAAUUAGUGUUGAUCAACAUAGAGUACUAUAGGCUGAUCACCUAGAAGUGCUCGUAAGUAAUGCGGAUGUACAGCCUUAGUGCUGUGAUAUCCUUUUCAAGUAUGAAAAUAGAAAGCUAUUGUUCAUGGUCUAUCGACCGAUUCAGAAUUCCUAAUAUAUUCUAUACCUUGGGAAUUGAUGAUAUGAAUUGUUAAAGUAUUAUUGUUUCAUAAUACUUCAUAACUAUUUGUUCAGUUAUGUAGGAAUUGUCAUAUAAUUCACGAAUGUGGUAUUACUGUUAUCCUUUGUUAAACUUGCUGAGCUUGUUAUGCUCAGUUUUUGCGUGAAUUAUAUGAUUGCAGUUAAGGAUGAACGUACUGAGAAUGCUAAGAGAGAUAAGGGCAAGGCUAAGAUGGAUACCUAACCAUCGUGUAAUAGACUAGUAUGCUUGUAUGUAUUAUACAUUAUGAACAACGAACGAUGUAAUCGGUUUAUGAACUUGGGAAGGAUUAUACUUUGAUUGUAAUAAGAAUAUAGUAAUUACAUUCAUUUUGUUGUAUUUCAAUGGAAUGGUUGUAUAGUUAUGAGUACAGUGUAGCACCAUAUUGGGGGGUCACAUGUUGGUAUCAAAACAUUAGGUUAUAAAACUUAAGGGGGGAAGAACCUUAGGCUAAUAACCUCGUAAGGAAGGUAAAUUCCGAAGAAUGAAAUUCAAGUCAAUUGAAUUAAUAAGGUAUUGAGAAAACUCAGUACCGAAAGAAUUUAAAAGAUGGAAAUUAAUUUUAAAUAAAUUAAAUGUGAUUUAUGCUUAUACUAUUGUGUAUUAUGUACUAAUCAACGUGUUAUGUGUUAUGUAGAUAUCGAUCAAUAUCAUGAUGUAUAGAGACAUUCACGUUGUGAGUGAAGAGUCAGUGAACCAAGUGGAGGUAGUACCUAUGCCUGUGGGGGAGGUACCGUUAGUGGUUCUAGAAGACUCGGAUAUUGAGGAGUACAUCUCUGAGGAGCAAUACUCUGAGGAGACAAUGGGGAUAGCGUCAUAUCUGAAUAUGAUGAUAGAUGUAGAGGAGGAGAUGGAGGUAACAUCGAUUAAUACGGUGGUACCUACUCAGGAGCCAACACCUUCGGAUGCAAUGAGAUCAUUGUAUCUAGCUGUGUUGGAUAGGAAUGUGCAUCUGUGCACUGUGGUGCAGACACAGAAUGAGGAGAUAAUCGCUCUAUAUGAGGCGAAGGAAUCUGCAGAAGCAGAUUUUGAGUCAGAGCACAAUGAGAAAGUGCAUAUGACGGAUAAAGCACGAGACUAUAAGGAAGAGGCCUUAGAGCUUUGAAAGAAACUGGUUGAAAAAGUCCAGAAGAUAGCUAGGAUGUCAUACAUCCACGAAUGCGCUCUUGAGGAUUUCAAGCUGAAAAUUGCUUGUUAUUCCAUUAAUUCCGGGCAGACUCGACAUACCAUUAGCCAGGAUAUUGUUUUGAAUCUAGCGAAUCAAAAACAUGAGAAUGCCGUUCAGCAGUAUUAGGAUAUCGUUAGAUCUUUUUGUAUAUGUGUAGUAACGUAAAACCCUCUUUUGUAUAAUUAAAGGGUAGUCUUUUUGUAAAUCCUAAUUUUUGUAAAAGUCAAUCGCGGGAUAGUAUGUAAUAGCUUUUUGGCUAAGGGAACAUGAUGUAAAUAGUUUUGACUAUGAAAGCAUAUUAAUAUAAUGAAGUUUUAUUUAAUGUGCUUGUUGUGGUAUGAGUUGUUGUUGUUUGAGAAUGAUAACCAAUCAGUUAAAUAGAUAAUAACAAAACUUUAUUUAUUUAAUCAGAAUUAUGCCGCCAAGAAGGAGACAACGUAACCAAGAGGCUGAGUCUCAUAAUGAAAAUCAAGGGGGUCCUAAUAACCCUAUACAAGAGUUCAUUAAUUUAUUAAUGGCUGCAUUUAAGCAAUUGGGGGGAGGGUUCAUGUAGCUCCUAGGGUAGCAAGAACAACUACCUUCAAGGAAUUUAAGAGUGUGGAUCCUCCUGAGUUCCGAGGAACGACAGACCCAUUAGAGGCCCAGACAUGGGUAAAAGAGAUCGAAAAGGCGUUUGUGAUAACAAACGUAGGUGAGGCACAAAAGACUUCUUUUGCGACUUACAUGAUGAAGGGGGAAGCCAAUUACUGGUGGGAGGCUCACCAGGGUGGGGCUAGGACCAAAGCUGUUACGUGGGAACAGUUUAAGAAGGUGUUCUUUGAGAACUACUUCCCUACUAGCAUGCAAGGUAGGAUGGAGAUUAAGUUCUUAGAACUUAAGCAGGGGGAUAUGACAGUUCCCCAGUAUGCCGCCAAAUUCAAUGAAUUGGCGAGGUUUGCUCCACAUCAGGUGGAUACGGAAGAGAGAAAGGCGCGCAGGUUUGAGCAGGGCUUAAAACCCUGGCUCUACAGUAGAAUAUCGAUUUUUCAGAGUGCUUCCUACGGGACCAUUCUGGAGAAGGCGAUAAUAGCUGAAGGUGGUGGUGAGGCAUUGUCUCAGUACCACAAGGAGUGGAAGAACAAGAGUAAGUUAGAAGGAGGUAGUAAGGCUGAAGUUGCCAGUGGAAGUGACAACCUGCCAAAAAGGAAGAGCUUCAACCUUGGGAAUACUGGGGUAAAUUAGGGAGAUCCUAAGCGUAGAACGGAGGCAUGCAAGACAUGCAGAAAGACUCACAUGGGAGUCUGUUUAAAGGGGAAAUUAGUCUGCUAUAACUGUGGGCAGGAGGGACAUUUGUCACCCAACUGUCCUAACCCUAAGAAGAAUCAGGGGUGUUUUGUCUGUGGGUCAUUGGACCACAUGCAAGAAAUUGCCCGAAGAAGGGUUUAGAGGGAAAUAAGGGUUCUGGUAGUGGUAAAUUAGCCAUUACUGUACCAACACCAUCGGUGGGUAGACCCUCAGCUCGUAUGUUUAAUAUGACUGUCCAAGAUGCGGUUACAUAACCGGAUGUGGUAGCAGGUAUCAUUCUGGUCAAUGAGAUAAAUGCUUAUGUGCUAUUUGACUCGGGUGCUACUUGUUCUUUUAUAGCAUGUGAAUUUGCUAAGCAAUUAGGUUUAAUCCCUAAAAAGUUACCACUACCUUUAGACGUUAAGUUAGCCAACGAAGAGAUAAUCCCCAUUGAACAUAUUCAUAAGGAUUGUUGUGUAGAUAUUAGAGGGAAUAAGUUAUGGGUAGAUUUGGUACCGAUAAGGUUAAAAGAAUUCGAUGUAAUUCUUGGUAUGGAUUGGUUGAUUAACUAUAAGGCGAUAAUAGAUUGCCAUAGGAAAAAUGUAAACCUUCGGCUUUCUAAGAAAACCAAGGUAGUGUUCUUCGACAGUAAAUCACCGAUACGUUCUUGUUGUCUGUCGAUGACAGAAGCUAUGAAGAUGUUGAGAAAGGGGUGUGUAGGUUAUCUGUGCCAUGUUGUGGAUACCCAAAGAGUGGGAACAUCCUUGGACCAGAUACCUAUAGUGCAAGAGUUCGCGGAUGUAUUUCCGGAGGAGUUACCAGGUAUUCCACCGGACAGGGAGGUUGAGUUUGUAAUUGAUCUGUUACCGGGAAUGACACCAGUUUCAAGGGCAUCAUAUCGGAUGGCGCCAGUUGAGAUGAAGGAGUUAAUGGUUCAAUUGCAAGAACUAUUAGAUAGAUAGUACAUUCAACCGAGUGUGUCUCCUUGGGGAGCACCGAUAUUGUUUGUAAAGAAAAAGGAUGGGUCGUUAAGACUUUGUAUCGACUAUCGAGAGUUGAACAAGUUAACGAUUAAGAAUAAAUUUCCGAUGCCCAGGAUCGAUGAUCUAUUUGAUCAGUUGAAAGGGGGAAAGUAUUUUUCUAAGAUAGAUUUGCGCAUGGGGUAUCAUCAGUUAAAGGUGAGAAAGGAGGAUGUACCUAAGAUGGCAUUCAGAACUCGUUAUGGUCAUUACGAGUUUCUGGUGAUGUCGUUUAGGUUGACUAAUGCACCAGUCGCAUUUAUGGAUAUGAUGAACAGAGUGUUCAAACAAUAUUUGGACAAGUUCGUCGUAGUGUUCAUUAAUGAUGUUCUAGUCUAUUCAAAGACGUCAGAAGAUCAUGCCAAACAUUUAAGGAUAGCGUUGGAAACACUAAGAAUGGAAAUAAGUACUAUAUUUCACUUUGAUGUGGAAACGUAACAAUGGGUUUAUUGUCUUUAUAAUAUUGUCCUUUAUCAUAUUUUAUACAUAGAUUAGAAAUACAGAAUAAAUAAGGGAAAAUUCUUAUGAAUACGCCCUUCUAAUGAUGAAGAAGUAUGGACGCAUUCGCUCAUAGAAAACGGUAUCAACCUCCCCAUUGCGCAGAUCCCAAAAACGCAUAGUUUCUCCUCCAAAAAUGACUUCUCCGAUCGGGGAACGCAUUAAAUAUUUACCUAAACCAGUAGGUCCUUGAGCGGAUCCCACGUUAGCCCCAAGGCCUGUGGAAAAAAAAGGAUUUGCUGAGACGGAAAUAAAGAUAUCAAGUUUCUACCAAGAUAACUGGAAGUUCCAACCAAUAAGAAUCCUAAUGACCCUAAAAAAAGGAUAACGGCCCAGCAGAAAUUACUUGUUUUUCGAGACCCCAUCAAAAAAAAUUCUUGUUUUUUGACUAAACGGUUAUGAAUGACUUGACAAUUUCAAGUCGAAUCGAAUUUGUGAAAAAUGUCGACUAAUUCGUAGGCGGGGACGAAUUAUAGUAAUUUGUUCCAACCCAAGACAUAAACAAAGACAGGGGUAAUCAGACCCGUUUAAACACCCGGAUCUAUGAUAAGAUCGUUUAUUUACAACGGAAUGGUAUACAAAGUCAACAGAUCUCAAUGAAUACAAUAGGAUUUAUGGCUACACAAACUGUUGAGAACGGUUCUAGAUCUCGUCCAAAACCAACUACUGUAGGGAAUUUACCCGAGUUAUUAAUUUAUAUAAGUUAAGAUCUGUUCUUGAAUAUCAUGGAACUUCUUUUUUUCUUAAGACUGCAAUAAAGGAUUCUUUUGGAACACAAGGAAUAUUUCAUUUAUAUGCGAAAUUCACAAAGUGUGAAUUUUGGCUUGAGAGAGUGCAGUUUCUAGGACAUGUUAUUGACAAAGAUGGCAUUUCCGUGGAUCCAACAAAAGUAGAAGCAGUUAAUGAGUGGGAGCAUCCAAAAAUGCCAACUGAAGUUCGGAGUUUUCUGGGGCGUUACAUUCUCUCCCCCUUAUAAGGAUUCUGUCCCCAGAAUCUCGCUAUAUAAAAAAAAAUUACAUAAAAAGAUCAGGGUAAUUUUUUUUCAUCAUUUCUUCCAACUCCCACGUUGCUUCUUCUGCAUCGUGGUUCUUCCAUAUCACCUUUACGGAAGAUAUGACUUUAUUCCACAAAACUUGUUCUUUUCUAUCGAUAAUUUGAGUCGGCAUUUCUUCGUACGUUAAGUCCUUCUCAAUAUGAAUAGGCUCAUAUUCUAUCACGUGUUUAUAAUCUGGCUUAUAUGGACGUAACACGGAUACGUGAAAUAUAUUAUGUAUUCGUUCUACGUCUGGAGGUAAUGCUAUCAUGUAAGCUACCUCACCCACCCGUUUUAAUACCUCAAAAGGUCCUAUGAACCUCAAACUUAACUUUCCCUUCUUUCCAAAACGUAUCUUUCCUUUUUAGGGAGAUACUUUUAGAAAUACGCACGAACCUACUUCAAAUUCUCUAUUUUCUCUAUGCAAAUCUGUAAACUUCUUCUGUCUGUCUUAAGCUGCUAGAAGACGCAUUUGUAUCAUCAUGACAAUGUCCGCUAUUUGUUGCACCAAUUCUGGUCCCAACAUUCGGCGUUCUCCUACCUCAUCCCAAUACAGUGGUGUUCUGCAUUGCCUUCCACACAAAGCUUCGUAAGGUGGCAUACCUAUGCUCGCAUAAUAACUAUUGUUAUACGCAAACUCCACUAAUGGUAGAUGAUCAUCCCAACUACCCUUGAAAUCCAUGACGCAAGAUCUUAACAUAUCUUCUAACGUCUGAAUUGUUCUCUCACUUUGUCCAUCCGUUUGUGGAUGAUACGUCGUACUCAGCUUUAACUGUGUUCCCAACUGCUCUAGUAGACUCCUCCAAAAGUUUGAUGUGAAUCGUGGAUCACGAUCUGACACAAUUGAUACUGGUACUCCAUGUCUGGAAAUUAUUUCCUUAAUAGAGAGUCUAGCUAAUUGAUCUAAGAUAUACUUGACCCUAAUUGGCAAAAAGUUAGUCGACUUUGUCAAUCGGUCCACUAUUACCCAAAUCACAUCAUACCCUUUUGUUGUAGUUAGAAGUCCUACCACAAAAUCCAUCGUGAUAUUUUCCCACUUCCACUCCGGAAUUUCCAAUGACUUUAAUAAGCCACUUGGUCGUUGAUGUUCGACCUUAACUUUCUGGCGAGUCAAGCACCUAGUCACGUACUCUACUAUCUCUCUCUUCAUGUUCGGCCACCAAAAACUCUGUCGAAGGUCUUGAUACAUCUUAGUACUCCCAGGAUGAAUCAAAAACCUCAAACUAUGAGCCUCUUGUAAUACAUGCUCCUUUAAUUCCGUCUCAUUCGGAACCCAAAUUCUUCCUUCAAAUCUUAAUAAUCCCUCAUUAUUAAGAUUGUACUUAAUAUCUUUUUCAUUGGCUAGCCGUUCCUUUAUCCGGUCACACUCAUCAGUUUUGAGUUGUACCUCGUUAACUCUCUUUACGAUGGUAGAUUGCAUCUCCGUUAUAAACAACAUUUGUCAUGCUUCACUCGACAGCUUCACUUCCAAUUCCAUCCUAGCCAUCUCUGUUAUUAACUCAGUUUGAGCCGUUAACAAAGAUAACUUUUCCCGACCCUUCCUACUUAAGGCGUCGGCAACUACAUUGGCUUUUCCAGGGUGAUACAGGAUUUCACAGUCGUAAUCCUUUAUUAACUCCAGCCAUCUCCUUUGCCUCAUAUUCAACUCCUUCUGUGUGAAGAUAUAUUUUAGACUCUUGUGGUCCGUGUAUAUCUCACAUUUUUCUCCAUAAAGAUAAUGUCUCCAUAUCUUUAGAGCAAAAACUACUGCGGUCAGUUCCAGAUCAUGAGUAGGAUAAACUUUCUUACAAUCCUUCAACUGCCUAGAUGCAUAAGCAAUGACCUUGUCAUGCUGCAUAAGCACGCAACCAAGUCCUCUAUGCGAAGAAUCGCUAUAAACUACAAAAUUUCCUGUGUCAUCAGGCAAUGAUAAAACAGGCGCUUCACACAACCUUUCUUUAGUUGUUGUAACGUCCCAGAAAAUCGAACCUUUUGUAAAUACUUUUAAUAAUGAAUAAAAUAAUAUUAUUUAUUAUUAUUAUGUAUUUGUAAGAUGAAUGUCGUUCUAUAACCUAGAAACAUAAGAAUGCCGUAGUAUUUUUAACUACGUGGGAGAAAUAAAGUGUUUGAAUUUCUAAGACGAAAAUAAAAGCUUUCCGAGAAAUUUUCCAAAAAAUACUAUUCAUCGAUUUCUGCUCGAGAAUUAUUUUUGAACAUCCGAGAAAUACGUAACGUUAUAAUAUCGAAGUGAUAUCGAUUAUGUAAUAAUAAUCUAAGUAUGAAAAACGUAAUAUUUCGCAUGCGGACUUAAUUUGGGAACGUUAGGUUUAUUAAGCGUUAAGGAAAGAAAGUUGUAAUCAUAUGAUGUGUAUGCAUUGUACGAAGUAAUGAAUAUAAGUAUAAUACGAUGUAUUAUACUAUUAAGAAUGGAGAAUAAAAUAACGUAUAUUACGAAUAAAUAUACGAGCUAGCAUACGAGAAUUAUACGUGGUGUAUAUAUGUUAAGUUGUUAAUUAAAUGUAAUGGACUUGUAGGAUUAUUAUCUUAAUGAUAGAAGUCCAAUAGAAUGUGAUACUCAAGCCCAAGUGUUUGAUAUGUCAUGAGUCCAAACUAUUUUAGGGUAAGCCCAAUAAGGAAUUAGCUAGAUAAAUUAGCAAGCCCAAUGAUAAGCCAUGAUCCAUGGGGUAAACCAAGUGAGAAAUGGGUAGCCUUGAUGGGCAAACAUUUUGUUUGGUGACCAAGUGUAGUGAUGAUCAAGUAAUAGAAGUGGCUAGCAAGUAGACUUGGUUGAUAAGCAAUGAAUAGUAAGGAGGUGUAUUAAGGAGGUGAUUAAAGGAGGUGGAAUGUCCAAUUGACUAUAAUGCCCUAGCUUUUGGUUGCCUAUAAAUAGAGAAGCCUCACUUCAUUUGUUGGUUGAUAAAUUUCUCCCAACUACUCUCAAGAUAAGGAACUUAAUUGUUAGAGAGAAUAAGCCACAUAAGCACUUAUAAGCCACUUCAACCUUUGCUAGAUUUUCCAAAGAGGAGUGAAGUAAUAGUCUUCAAGGGUAAGACUCAUAUCUAUUAUCUUCAUCUCUUCUAUGAUAGGAUUGAUAAAGAAGGGGGAUUGUUUGUUAAGAACAUGUAAGAAGUUAUUAAUGAAUGAACCUAAGCCGAAUAAAUUGAAUAAGCAACUUGAACUCUAAUAAGUUGAUAAACUUGUGAAGAACUUGUCAUAUGUUUGUCAUAUGAUGUUAGUAUGUUGAAUAUAGUAUGAGAACAUUGAUUGAUAGACUUAAGUUCAUAGUAAGUCAUAAACAUGAGAAUUUGUAGUUAAUAAGUUGAUUAAGUCAUUGACAUAUGAGAAUAAGUCAAAACCUACUUUGAUGAUAAGUUGGUGUGAUAAGUAACUUGAAAUGUUCAUGUGUUGGUUAAAAUUAAAAUCAUUAGGAAUGAAGUUUUGCCGGAAUUCACACGAUUGGACGAUUAUCGUCGAAUUCGUAAAAUUCUCAGAAUGGAAGUCGUAUUUUGUGUUUGAAGUCGGAAACGUUGGUUUUCGAUUGAGACAAGUCAUAUUUGGCAUUAUAGAGUUGCGGACUCGAAAAUGACCGAAUUCCGACUUAGAACGAAGAAACGAGCGUUGAACGUUCACGGACGUUUAUCGUUUUCGUUAAAAAUGAACUAAUAGGUGAAAUUUUAGCAAACGAAGUCAAAUAGAUAAAAUUAUUGCAUGAACCCAUAGAGUAUGAAAUUUGUGAGCCGUAGGCUUUUUAAUGAGCCAAUUCGGACUUAUAAUGAAGAAGUUAUGCAUCUAGGAGUUUCGUAAAAUUUUCAAAUUUUGCAAACUGUCUGAGGCACAGAGUUGGCGCUGCGGCGCCAACCCAAGGCCAAAAGGUGGUGCUGCAGCAUCGAGUCUGGGGCUUGCCUACUGUAAACUCACGUCGCGGCACGAGAAUGAGAGCUAUGUGUGGCGCCACGGCGCCAGUCCUAAGAAUUUGCCAGAGAAGAAAGUUUUAAAGUAUAGAAUGAAAGGGAACUUAUUAGUAAUGAACUAAGGUAUAAGCAUAACAUUGUUAAGGCAUUGUUAAACACUAAUGUAUGAUGAUUAAGAGUUAAUGAUCACUUGAAUUUGAAUGAAAUGAGAAUGAUGUAAUGAAAAGUCGGAAACCAUAAUAACAGAUCUAAGUCAGAAUUUAGAUUGAGAUGAAGGGUAAGAUAUAAUAAUAUGCCUACUUGAUUACAUGUGACCUAAUGUGGUGCGUUACAUGAUCAUGUAUUGUAGAAACUUAGAGACCUAUACGUGUGAUAAUCAGUAAGCAGACGCUGAAGGCAACCAUUCUAACCCUUGUUCCAGUUCAGUCUGGACAAGCUUUGUAAUUCAUGUAUCCUUUCGCAUGAAGUUUUGUAUGAGGAAGUCAAAGCCAAUUCUUUGGGCUAGACUUAGAUUUUGUUUCUAUCAAAACAUGUACAAUGUUCACCAAGUUAUAUUGGUGUAGUUUUCAAUCGAAGACUGAGUAUGCUAAAAUGUUUUCGUCGUUUAACGACAGGCACGUGAGGUUGCCACAACUUAAACGUAUACACGUUUAAUGAAUGUAGUGUUGAUCAACAUAGAGUACCAUGGGCUGAUCACCCAGAAGUGCUCGUAAGCUAUGCCGGACUUACGGACUUAGUGCCAGGUUGUCCUUUUUAAAAGCAAUAAUGAACUUCUCUUAGUCUUGAGCCUUAGUUGAUAUUCUACUGAAUAUUGUUAUUGAAAAACGACUGUGAAAUCCUGUAUCACCCUGGAAAAACCAAUGUAGUUGCCGACGCCUUAAGUAGGAAGGGUCGGGAAAAGUUGUCAUUAUUAACGGCUCAAACUGAGUUAAUAAUAGAGAUGGCUAGGAUGGAGUUGGAAGUGAAGCUGCCAAGUGAAGGAGGACAAAUUCUGUUUAUGACGGAGAUGCAAUCUACUAUCGUAGAGAGAAUCAAGGAGGUGCUGUUCAAAACUGAUGAGUGUGACCAAGUAAAGGAGCGGAUAACCAAUGAAAAAGAGACUAAGUACAGUCUUGAUAACGAGGGAUUAUUGAGAUUUGAAGGAAGAAUUCGAGUUCCGGAUGAGACGGAAUUAAAGGAGUAGGUGUUACAAGAGGCUAACAGUUCGAGGUUUUCAAUUCAUCCUGGUAGCAGUAAGAUGUAUCAAUAUCUUCGAAAGAGUUUCUGGUUUCCGAACAUGAUGAGAGAAAUAGAAGAGUAUGUGAACAGGUGCUUAACUUUCCAGAGAGUUAAGGUCGAACAUCAACGACCAAGUGGCUUGCUACAGUCAUUGGAAAUUCCGAAGUGGAAGUGGAAGUGGGAGAAUAUCACGAUGGAUUUUGUGGUAGAACUUCCGACUACUCAGAAGGGGUAUGAUGCAAUUUGGGUAAUAGUAGAUCGAUUGACGAAGUCGGCUCACUUUUUGCCAAUUAGGGUUAAGUAUACCUUAGACCAAUUGGCAAGACUUUAUAUUAAGGAAAUAAUUUCUAGACAUGGAUCACCAGUAUCGAUUGUAUCAGAUCGUGACACACGAUUCACGUCAAACUUUUGGAGAAGUCUACAAGAGCAGUUAGGAACGCAGUUAAAGCUGAGUAUGGCGUAUUAUCCACAAACGGAUGGACAGAGCGAGAGAACAAUUCAGACAUUAAAAGAUAUGCUAAGAUCUUGUGUCAUGGAUUUCAAGGGUAGUUGGGAUGAUCAUCUACCAUUAGUAGAGUUUGCAUAUAACAAUAGUUAUCAUGCAAGCAUAGGUAUGCCGCCUUACGAAGCUUUAUAUGGGAGAAAGUGCAGAACACCAUUGUAUUGGGAUGAAGUGGGAGAACGCCGAAUGUUAGGACCUGAAAUGGUGCAGCAAACAGCGGACAUUGUUAAACUGAUACGAAUGUGUUUGGUAGCAGCUCAAGACAGACAGAAGAAGUUUACUGAUUCGCAUCGAGAGAAUAGAGAACUUGAAGUAGGCUCUUACGUAUUUCUAAAAGUAUCUCCCUGGAAAGGAAAGAUAUGUUUUGGAAAGAAAUGGAAGUUAAGUCCGAGGUUUAUAGGACCUUUUGAGGUAUUAAAAUGGGUGGAUGAGGUAACAUAUAUGGUAGCAUUACCUCUAGACCUAGAACGAAUACAUAAUGUAUUUCACGUAUCGGUAUUGCGUUCUUAUAAGCCGGAUUAUAAGCACGUGACAGAAUAUGAACCUAUUCAUAUCGAGAAGGACUUAACAUAUGAGGAAACGCCAAUUCAAAUUGUCGAUAGAAAAGAACAAGUUCUGCGGAAUAAAGCCAUAUCUUCCAUGAAGGUGAUAUGGAAGAACCACGAUGCAGAAGAAGCAACGUGGGAGUUAGAAGAAAUGAUGACAAAGAAUUACCCUCAAUUAUUUGUGUAAUUAUUUUUAUAUAGCGAGAUUCUGGGGACAGAAUCCUUAUAAGGAGGAGAGAGUGUAACGUCCCGGAAAAUCGAACCUUUUGUAAAUACUUUUAAUAAUGAAUAAAAUAAUAUUAUUUAUUAUUAUUAUGUAUUCGUAAGAUGAAUGUCGUUCUAUAACCUAGAAACAUAAGAAUGUCGUAGUAUUUUAACUACGUGGGAGAAUUAAAGUGUUUGAAUUUCUAAGACGAAAAUAAAAGCUUUCCGAGAAAUUUUCUGAAAAACACUAUUCAUCAAUUUGUGCUCGGGAAUUAUUUUUGAACUUCCGAGAAAUAUGUAACGUUAUAAUAUCGAAGUGAUAUCGAUUAUGUAAUAAUAAUCUAAGUAUGAAAAACGUAAUAUUUCGCAUGUGGACUUAAUUUUGGAACGUUAGGUUUAUUAAGCAUUAAGGAAAGAAAGUUGUAAUCAUAUGAUGUGUAUGCAUUGUACGAAGUAAUGAAUGUAAGUAUAAUACGACAUAUUAUACUAUUAAGAAUGGAGAAUAAAAUAACGUAUAUUACGAAUAAAUAUACGAGCUAGCAUACGAGAAUUAUACGUGGUGUAUAUAUGUUAAGUUGUUAAUUAAAUGUAAUGGACUUGUAGGAUUAUUAGCUUAAUGAUAGAAGUCCAAUAGAAUGUGAUACUCAAGCCCAAGUGUUUGAUAAGUCAUGAGUCCAAACUAUUGUAGGGUAAGCCCAAUAAAGAAUUAGCUAGAUAAAUUAGCAACCCCAAUGAUAAGCCAUGAUCCAUGGGGUAAACCAAGUGAGAAAUGGGUAGACUUGAUGGGCAAACAUUUUGUGUGGUGACCAAGUGUUGUGAUGAUCAAGUAAUAGAAGUAUCUAGCAAGUAGACUUAGUUGAUAAGCAAUGAAUAGUAAGAAGGUGUAUUAAGGAGGUGAUUAAAGGAGGUGGAAUGUCCAAUUGACUAUAAUGCCCUAGCUUUUGGUUGCCUAUAAGUAGAGAAGCCUCACUUCAUUUGUUGGUUAAUAAAUUUCUCCCAACUACUCUCAAUAAGGAACUUAAUUGUUAGAGAGAAAUAAGUCACAUAAGCACUUAUAAGCCACUUCAACCUUUAUUAGAUUUUCCAAAGAGGAGUGAAGUAAUAAUCUUCAAGGGUAAGACUCAUAUCUAUUAUCUUCAUCUCUUCUAUAAUAGGAUUGAUUUAGAAGGGGGAUUGUUUGUUAAGAACAUGUAAGAAGUUAUUAAUGAAUGAACUUAAGCCGAAUAAGUUGAAUAAGAAACUUGAACUCUAAUAAGUUGAUAAACUUGUGAAGAACUUGUCAUACGUUAGUCAUAUGAUGUUAGUAUGUUGAAUAUAGUAUGAGAACAUUGAUUGAUGGACUUAAGUUCAUAGUAAGUCAUAAGCAUGAGAAGUUGUAGUUAAUAAGUUGAUUAAGUCAUUGACAUAUGAGAAUAAGUUAAAACCUACUUUGAUGAUAAGUUGGUGUGAUAAGUAACUUGAAAUGUUCAUGUGUUCGUUAAAAUCCAUUUAGAAUCAUUAGGAAUGAAGUUUUGCCAGAAUUCACACGAUUGGACGAUUAUCGUCGAAUUCAUAAAAUUCUUAGAAUGGAAGUUGUAUUUUGUGUCUGAAGUCAGAAACAUUGGUUUUCGUUGGAGACAAGUCUUAUUUGGCAUUAUAGAGUUGCGGACUCAAAAAUGACUGAAUUCUGAUUUAGAACGAAGAAACGAGCGUUGAACGUUCACGGACGUUUAUCGUUUUCGUUAAAAAUGAACUAAUAGGUGAAAUUUUAGCAUACGAAGUGAAAUAGAUAAAAUUCUUGCAUGAACACAUUGAGUAUGAAAUUUGUGAACCGUAGGCUUUUGAAUGAGCCAAUUCGGACUUAUAACGAAGAAGUUAUGCGUCCGGGAGUUUCGUAAAAUUUUCAAAUUUUGCAAACUGUCUGAGGCACAUAGUUGGCGCCGCGGCGCCAACCCAAGGCCAAAAGGUGGUGCUAUAGCGCCGAGUCCGGGACUUGCCUACUGUAAACUCGCGCCGCGACAUGAGAAGGAGAGCUAUGUGUGGCGCCGCGACGCCAAUCCUAAGAAUUUGCCAGAGAAGAAAGUUUUCAAGUAUAGAAUGAAAGAGAACUUAUUAGUAAUGAACUAAGGUAUAAGCAUAACAUUGUUAAGGCAUUGUUAAACACUAAUGUAUAAUGAUUAAGAGUUAAUGAUCACUUGAAUUUGAACGAAAUGAGAAUGAUGUAAUGAAAAGCCGGAAACCAUAAUAACAUAUCCAAGUCAGAAUUUAGAUUGAGAUGAAGGAUAAGAUAUAAUAAUACGCCUACUUGAUUACAUGUGACCUAAUGUGGUACGUUACAUGAUCAUGAAUUGUUGAAACUUAGAGACCUAAAGCGUACAUGUGAUAAUCAGUAAGCAGACGCUGAAGGCAAGUAUUCUAACCCUUGUUCCAGUUCAGUCUGGACAAGCUUUGUAAUUCAUGUAUCCUUUCGCAUGAAGUUUUGUAUGAGGAAGUCAAAGCCAAUUCUUUCGGCUAGACUUAGAUUAUGUUUCUAUUAAAGCAUGUACAAUGUUCACCAAGUUAUAUUGGUGUAGUUUUCAAUCAAAGACUGAGUAUGCUAAAAUGUUUUCGUCGUUUAACGACAGGCACGUGAGGUUACCACAACUUAAACCUAUACACGUUUAAUGAAUGUAGUGUUGAUCAACAUAGAGUACUAUGGGCUGAUCACCCAGAAGUGCUCGUAAGCUAUGCCGGACUUACGGACUUAGUGUCGGGUUGUCCUUUUCAAAAGCAAUAAUGAACUGCUCUUAGUCUUGAGCCUUAGUUGAUAUUCUACUGAAUAUUGUUAUUGAAAAACGUUUGAAUGAAAAGAAGUGUUAUUUUAAAUUAUCGAUAGUACUUCAUAACUAUUGUUCAGUUAUUGAAGAUAUACGAGUUAUGUGUUUCAAGCAUGUUGUUUAUUAGAAUUGUAGUACUUGCUGAGCUAGUCAUGCUCACUCUUGGUUUAAACAUAUGAACACAGCUAAGAUCGAACGGACCGAAGGCUCUGGCAAGGAUAAGGGCAAGACGAAGACGAACCCUUAGAGUUCUGAUGUAAUAGUAUAGGUGAACGAUUGUAAUAUAUUUAAUAUUAUGACAAGAACGAAUGAAUGGGUUAUAAAGAACCUGGGAAAUGUAAUAUUAUUUUGAAUAUAUAGAAGGUAUAUUAGUCCUUUUGAGACUAUUCAAUUGAAUGAAUGAAUGAAUGGUAGUGCCGUGUAGCACCAUCUGUCGGGUUGGAAGAGACCUGGAUUUGGGGGCGUCAUAGUUCUUGAAAACUGUCCUCAUACUUAUCAGUCCAUGCGUAUUUCACCGUCUUCCUUGUCAAGUUAGUCAACAGAGUAGCUAUCUUCGAAAAAUCCUGGAUGAAUCUCCGAUAGUAUCCCGCUAACCCUAGGAAACUCUGCACCUCAGUCGGUAUUUUUGGUUGUUCCCAAUUCAUCACGGCUUCCACCUUCGCUGGAUCUACUGAAAUCCCCUCAUGGUCAAUGACAUGACCUAAAAAUUAUACCUUCUCCAACCAAAAUUCACACUUAGUGAAUUUCGCGUACAACUUCUCCUUUCUUAGUGUCUUCAAAACUAAUCUUAGGUGUUCAGCAUGAUCUUCUGGCGUCUUAGAAUAAACUAGAAUAUCAUCGAUAAACACCACGACGAACUUGACCAAAUAUUAUUUGAACACUCUGUUCAUCAUAUCCAUAAAUGCAGCUGGUGCAUUUGUCAACCCGAAUGACAUCACCAGAAACUCGUAAUGACCAUAACGAGUCCUGAAUGCUGUCUUUGGUACAUCCUCCUUCCUAACCUUCAACUGAUGAUACCCCAUUCUUAAAUCUAUUUUAGAAAAAUACUUAGCCCCUUUCAAGUUAUCAAAGAGAUCAUUCAUCCUGGGCAAUGGGUAUUUAUUCUUUAUCGCUAACUUGUUCAACUCUCGGUAGUCGAUUCAAAAUCUUAACGAUCCGUCCUUCUUUUUAACAAACAGUACCGGUGCUCCCCACGACAAAACACUCGGUUGAAUGUACUUCCUGUCCAACAGUUCUUGUAACUGCACCAUCAACUCCUUCAUCUCCACUGGCGCCAUACGAUAUGGUGCCCUAGAAACUGGUGCCGCUCCUGGCACGAUGUGUAUUACAAAAUCUGUCUCCCUAUUCGACAGAAGACCCGACAAUUCACUCAGAAAUACAUCGGUGAAUUCUCUUACUAUAGGUAUUUGUUCCAUAGUUGCUACCAGUGUCUGGGUAUCAACAACAUGACACAGAUAACCUACACAUCCCUUCUUCAGAAAUUUCCUAAUUUGUGUCAUGGUUAGACAACACGAACGUCCCGGCGAUCUAUUCCCGUAAAAUACUACCUGAGGUUGUCUUAACGUCUUAAUGUUCAUAGAUUUCUUUUGACAAUCUAUAAUUGCCCCAUGGUUAACUAACCAAUCCAUUCUGAGAAUUACGUUGAAUUCUCCUAACUUUAUCAGUAUCAAAUCUACCGAUAAUUUACAACCCCGUAUAUCUACGCAACAACUCCUAUGAACAUCUUCAACAGGAAUUAUUUCUUCAUUUUCUACCUUAAUAUUUAAAGGUAUAGGCAACUUUUCGGGAAGUAAUCCUAAUCGUCUAGCAAAAUCGCAUGCUAUAAACGAACAAGUAGCACCCGAAUCAAACAGCACGUAAGCAUUUAUGUCAUUGAUCAGAAUAAUACCUACGAUGACGUCCCCUGAUGUAACUGCAUCUUGGACUGUCAUGUUAAAGGUACGGCCCAUCAGCCUACCCGGCUGCGCUGGACCACUAAUGGCUAACUUAUCGCUAUUAGUACCCCGAUUCCCGUCCGUCCCCUUCUUCGGGCAGUUCUUUGCCAUGUGGUCGGUUAACCCACACAUAAAGCAUCCAUGAUUCUUCAUUGGACUUGGACAGUUAAGCGUAAUGUGCCCUUCCUAUCCACAGUUGUAACAGACGGCCUUCCCCUUGAGACAGACUCCUAAAUGAGACUUCCCAUAGGUCUUGCAUGCCUCCAUCCUCCUCUUUGGGUCUCCUUGCCUCACUCUGGUAUUCCCAGAGCUGAACGCCUUCCUCUUUUGUCCCUCGCCACUACCGCUUGCUCCUUCAACCUUUACUCCCCCAUCCACUUUCCCCUUGCUCUUCUUAUCCUUGUGGUAUUGACUCAGAGACUCACUACCACUUUCGGCAAUUAUUGCCUUCUCUAAAAUGGUUCCAAAAGAAGUACUUUAGAACACCGAAAUACAGUUAUAGAGCCAGGGUUUCAAGCCCUGCUCGAACCGUUGCACCUUCCUAAUCUCGGUAUCCACUUGGUGUGGAGCGAACCUCGUCAGUUCAUUAAACUUUGCGGCGUAUUGGGGAACCAUCAUGUCCCCUUAUUUCAACUCCAGAAACCGCAUCUCCAUCCUUCCCUGCAUGCUCGUGGGAAAGUAGUUCUCAAAGAAUAUCUCCUUGAACCUCUCCCACGUCAGAUUCGCUAUCCCGGCCUUAGCCUGAAUCACUUCCCACCAAAACUUGGCCUCUCCCUUCGUCAUAUAGGUUGAAAAGGCAACCUUCUGGGCCUCGUUGACAUUUACUAUCACAAAUGCCUUCUCUAUUUCCUUCACCCACGUUUGGGCUUCAAUAGGGUCCGUAGUUCCUUUGAACUCCGGCGGACCCACACUCCUGAAAUCCUUAAAGGUAGUAGCUCGUGCUACUCCUAGAUUUACGGGGAUAUUAGCCCCUGUUCUAUUAAAGCCAGUUGUUAACAGGUUAACGAACUUCUGCAUUGGGUUAACCGGACCUCCCUUCGGUUGAUUCACAUUAGCUGCUUGGUUACAUUGCACUCUUCUCGGUGGCAUUUUGCUGAUACAAUAACCACAUUUCAUUAUUAUUCCUUUCUUUAUUAGUUAUUAUUUUAUAUUAAAUAAUAACUUCAACAUCCAUUACUCAUUGAUUUCCAUAAAAAGGCUUAUAUUCAUUCUUUGUAGUAUAAUAUUACAUUGGUUACAUUACACAGCCUAAGCUGAUUAUAUUACUUUCACGCUGUUGCUUUCCAAAAAUUGGGAUUUACAAAAACUACCCUUCACUAUACAAAGAGGGCUUUACAUCACUACUAAUUACAAAAUAUUUACAUACCUAAACUACUCUAGCUACUACUAGAUUACAUCUGCCUUAAGGAAUUAUCGAAAUCUGCCUUGGCAAGAUCGACAAUGAUAUCACGGCUAAUAGUAUGUCGUGUCUGCCCCACCUCUACAGGAUAUCCAACUACCUACAGCUAGAAAUCUGUUUGAGAACUCCUAUGAAUAUAGGACAUCCUCCCUAUCUUCUGUAGUUUGGACUUUAGCUCCUCCUUGAGCUCAGAGACCUCAUGUUUCAGCUCAUGGACCUUGUCCUUGGCCAAAACCCUUUCAUCAUGCUCCUGCUCCCAUAUGGACUCAACAUCAGUCUUGUCCUCUAUGACAGCUUGGAGCUCUGCCUUCAGCUCCUUGACCUCCUGACAGUAAUGGAUAUUUCUAUCCAAUACCGACAUGAAUAGAGACAUCAUCGACCCCCCAAGAGCUAUCUCUGCUGCUAUAGCUACUGGAUUAAAGGACACCACCUCUACUUCCUCCUCUAUCAUACCAUCGAAUACUGACAUGAGGUCAGGAUCCUCUGAGUCUCUAGACGCAAUGACAACUAACUCAGGCUCUGCCGUUAUGGGGUUCGGUAUGACCUCUAUUUGGUUCACUGACUCUUCACUAAUGGCCUGUCCAUCUAUAUACAUUUCAUUUACUCCUGACAUCUACACAAAACAAUUAAGUGGAUUAGUACACGUCAGUAUAAUCAUAAAAACACAUAAUAUAAUCAUAAUGCAUUUUUAUAAGGUUAUUUUCUUCUUUUACUUCUUUGACUUCCCUUAAGGUUAUGACUUAAGGUUUUUAAUCCUCCCCUUAAGUUUUAUAACCUAAUGCUUUGAUACCAACCUGUGACGCCCCAAAAUCCGGGUAUCUUCCAACCCGACAGAUGGUGCUACACGAUACUACCAUUCACACAUACAUUCAAUUGAAAAGUCUCAAAAGAACGAAUAUGUCUUCUAUAUAUUAGAAAUAAUAUUACAUUUCCCCAGGUUCUUUAUAACCCAUACAUUCGUUCUUGUCAUAAUAUUCAAUAUAUUACAAACAUUCACCUAUACCAUUACAUAAGUAAUUUAAGGGUUCAUCUUCGCCUUGCCCUUAUCCUUGCCGAAGCCUUCGGUCCUUUCGAUCUUAGCUGUGUUCAUAUGGUUCAAGCAAGAGUGAGCAUAACUAUCUCAGCGAGUACUACAAUUCUAAUAAACAACAUGUUUGAAACCUAGAACUCAUAUAUCUUCAAUAACUGAACAAUAGUUACGAAGUACUAUCGAUAAUUCAAAAUAGCACUUCUUUUCAUUCAAAACAUUUUACAACAACAAUAUUCAGUAAAACAUCAAUUUCGGUCCAAGACCUUGAGCAUUUCAUAAGUUCUUUUGAAAAAGGACAUCCCGUCACUAAGUUCGUAAGUCCGGCAUUACUUACGAGCAUGUCUAGGUGAUUAGCCUAUAGUACUCUAUGUUGAUCAAAACUACAUUUAUUAAACGUGUAUACGUUUAAGUUGUUGCAACCUCAUGUGCCUGUCGUUAAACGACAAAAACAUUUUAGCAUACUCAGUCUUCGUUUGAAAAACACACCAAUAUAACUCGAUAAACAUUAAUCAUGCUUGAUAGAAUCAUAAUAUAAGUCUAUCCGAAAGAAUUGGCUUUGACUUCAUCAUACAAGACUUCAUGCGAAAGAAUAUAUGAAUUUCAAAGCUUGUCCAGACUAAACUGGAACAAGGGUUAGAAUACUUGCCUUUAGCGUCUGCUUAUUGUUUAUCACACAUACACUGUAAGUCUCUAAGUCUCUAUAAUACAUGAUCAUAUAACGUACCACAUUAGGUCAUAUAUAAUCAAGUGUGUAUGCCACUAGAUCUUACCCUUCAUCUCAAUCUAAUCCUGACUUAGAUUUGUUUAUUAUUGGUUCCGACUUUUCGUUACAUUGUUUCAUUAUGUUCAUAUUUAAUUACUUAUCUUCAACCUUUAGACAACAUAAAUAAGGUUUAACAAUACCUUACAAUACCUUAUUAAGUUCCUUUGUUUAUUACUACUGAGUUAACAGUAUGCAAGUCCCGGACUCGGCGCUGCGGCGCGAGUCUCCUUUGUUAUAGCAGCGCUGCGGCGCCAGUUAGCAGUGUGCUCUGUCUCGGCCUCGCGCUGUGGCGCAGGCCUUAAAGCUGUGAGUUGCGCCGUGGUGUGGACUUUGUGCCUCAGACAAUUUUGCAGAUUUUGAAAUUUUGCGAAACUCCCGGACACAUAACUUCUUCGUUAUAAUCAAAAGCAUGCGGUUUAAAAAUUACAUACUCUAUGCGUUCAUGCAAGAAUUUUAUCUAAUGGACUUUGUUUGCUAAAAUUUCACCUAUUAGUUCAUUUUUAACGAAAACGAUAAACGUUCGUGAACGUUCAACGCUCGUUUCUUUGUUCUUAGUCAAAAUCCGGUCAUUUUUGAGUCCGUACAUCUAUAAUGCCAAAUAUGACUUGUCUCCAUCGAAAACCAACGUUUUCGACUUCAAACACAAAAUACGACUUCCAUUCCGAAAAUUUCACGAAUUCGACGAUUAUCGUCUAAUCGUGUGAAUUCCGACGAAAACCCAUUACUAAUCUUUCUAAAUGGAUUUUAAUCAACAUAUGAACAUUUCAAGUUACUUAUUACACCAACUUAUUAUCAAAGUAAGUUUUGACUUAUUCUUAUAAGUUAAUAACUUAAUCAACUUAUAAACUACAAAUUUUCUUGCUUGUGACUUAAUAUGGACUUAAGUCCAUCAAUCAAUGUUCUCAUACCAUAUCUGUAAGACCCCAACUUAUUAUAAAUAAAAUUAAAUUUCCUCUAUUUAUUAUUUUGAAAUAGUAAGGGUUGAUUUGAUUAAUGUGGUUAGUUAUGGGUAAAAUGCGCAAAUAUUUUAAAUAUUCAAGUGGUUAUAAAAUAUUCAUUUUUAUCGGAGAAUAUUCGUUUGGUCGUGGAAUAUUCUUACUGUCGGGGAAUAUUCGUACGACGGCGCAGCCUUGUGUGGGCCCCAUAACGGAAAGCGAUUGGAUGAAGAAAACGACAAGUAUAAGUUGUUUAUAAAUAACGGCGUAGUUGUUACCGUUAAUACUGUUGGAAUACCCGGUGGUUAAAACACAGUAAUACGCGUUGUUGCACAGUAGCACACGGUAUUGCACCAAUUAUUGAUUCUUACGUAAGAAGGCACUACUCAAUAAUUGUUACAGUAAUUACUGUUCAGUAUUUUAUUUUAUUGAUUCAAUAAUUGCUGCGUUGAUAUUUUAUAUUACUGUUGUUUCAAUAAUUGUCACUACACAGUAUUUUCCAUUAUCGAAGCAAUAAUUCAUAUUAUCUGAAUAAUAUUAUUAGAUAACAUUAUUGGCAAUGUCUAGAAAGUUCUGUCUAAGGAGAGGUUUGGUCACCUAAUUGCGCGCCAGUAAGGAGAAAUUCUUAUUGGAAAGCCCCCUCUUUCCUGGGAACUGCCUGGUUGUCAAUAUUGUGAUUCUGUAAUAUUAUUUGUGAAUAAUUAAUUAUUGAUUCAUAUGAUGAGGAAAAUAUUGAUUUUAUGUGGAUAUAGAUGGAGAAAAUUUUUAAUGUGACAAUUGUUGAAAAAUUAUUAUUUUAUCUUUUCUGAUAAAUAAUUCAUUUAAAUAUAUUAUUAUAUUUUAAUAAUAUAAUAAUGGUGAUAUUUUUACAAUGAAUGUGGGAUAUAUGAGUAUAUGAGGAGGAGUAUUUUUGUUAAAAUUAAUGUUUAAAACAUUUUAAACAUGUCGGUGGACCUCAUUUCUUGACUGAAAUUUGAUUAUAGCUUGUAAAAUCGCUCGUUUGUGGAUUUCGGUCAAUUUCUGUUUGGAAUUUGGAAAACUUUCUUCUGCAAAGUUGUAGAUAAUGGAAUUUUCUAUGGAAAAGACAUAAGGUUUUAAUUUUUCUAAUAAAAGGGCCAUUUAUUAUGAAUUAUUAAAGUUCAGAAGUUUUGAAAUAAUUGAUUUUUAGAAGUUUUAAUUUUGUUUAUUAAGAAAAAUGUUUUUUCCAUUUAAUGGGCCUCACUUGCACAUGUUAGUUGUUGAAUUCAGAUUAAAUUUUCUACUUUGGUGUUCUAAGCAUUUUCCUAUAAAUAGGGUGCUUAGGUUAGAAUUGAAAAUCACACAAGAAACUAAAGUUUUCUCUCUCUUUCUCUCUCUAUAUUAUUGAGCGUAUUCUUGUGAGUAUUUUGAUACUUUGAGUGUUGCUAUACGGUGCAAGUUCCCUUCAGCACUAUAUCCAGUAUUCUAGUCAGAAGUACUGUCUUUUCGAGGUAAGGGAUGCUAUUUUCUUCAUAUAUAAUAUUAUUUCUUUCAAUAUCAUUAUGCCGAAGUAUUGAUCUGAACUUUUAAUCAAAUUUGAAAAUUUUGGUGUCGGGGUUACUAUUAACAUAUACGAUACUAUUCACGUAUACGGCACUAUUCACGAAUACUACACUAUUCACAGAAAAAUUAAAUUUUCAUUUUUUUUGUCCAAAAUAUCUAUUAUGGAUACUAGCUUUCAUUGUAUCCAUGUUUUGAUCAUUCUUGAAUUUUACUUCACUAUGAUUAUUAAUGAAGUAUUUUUGAACUUGGACUGUUUAAAGUAUGAAUCCUUAAUAGUUGUUCUUUUGUUUCACUGGAUUCGUUUUCUUUAAAAUAUUUUUCAUCAUCCUCACUCCUAAAUGAUGAUAUUACUGAAUAUCUUUGGCCUGUAGUGCAAAGAUGAAUAUUUGAUUCAAGAUGAAUAUUGAUUGAUGUUACAGAGAUAAAAUAUUGAUAAUGGACUUUUAAAUUCAUAGAUAAUAGUAGAUUUAAUUCUCUACGUAACUCAUCUAUGAAUUAUUAUUUCCGCUGCAAAUAUUGAUCUGAAACUUGUUGUCUAUUGUAUUUUAUCAGAUUUUUCCCUGUUGAAGACUAACGAUAAUUUGUUCUAUAUUAUCUUAGUCAUAAUAUUCUUUACUGGGAUAGUUGAGCUCACCCUUUUUCUUUUUGUUCCAUUUUUCUUCUCAGGAGGCGAGAAUGUAGCGAGUUCUAAUCGGGGUGUGGAAUGAUGAUUCUAGAAAAUUGUUUUAGUAGUCCUCACCAUUUUUGUAAAAUAAUAUACCAAUAAUUGUAAUGAGGACUUAUUUGGGUGUGAAUAUUGACUAGACGGCAAUAUUUGUAUUUAAACUCAUAGUUUUCAUGUUGUAUUAAUAAAGUUGUAGUUGUUUCUGUACCAUGUUAUUGACGACUCAAAAUGGGUGAUGUAUACCUAUUUUGGGGGCGUCACAAUAUCGAACAUACUAACAUCAUGUGACAAACAUAUGAUAAGUUCUUCACAAGUUUAUCAACUUAUUUAAGUUUAAGUUGCUUAUUCAACUUAUUCGGCUUAAGUUCAUUCAUUACUUACUUCUUAUUUAUUCUUAGCAUACAUGCACAUUAAGUUACACUUCUCUAUCAAUCUUAUUAUGGUAGAGAUAGACUAAUAGAUCACAAGAUCAUUUACCUUUGAUGACUAAAGUCUUCUUCUUUGAAAUCUAGCAAAAGGUUGAUUUGGCUUUAAAAGUGUUUAUUCUCUCUAACACGUAAGUUAAUUUGUUUUGGGUGAAAGUUGAACAAUGAAAAAUGAUCAACAAACUCUCCUAUUUAUAGGCUUGGCAAAGUGAGGGCAUAAUGGUCUUUUAGGCCUUGCACCUCCUCAACUAACCUCCUUAAUCCACCUCCUUACUAUUCAUUGCUUUACAACUAAGUAAACUUGUUAGCCACAUCUAUUACUUGAUCAUCACAACACUUGAUCAUCACAGAAAGUGCUUGCCCAUCAAGACUACCCAUAUUACUCUUGGUUUGCUCCAUGGAUCAUGGCUUAACACAUUGGGCUUGCUUAAUUAAUCUAGCCAAUUCUUAUUGGGCUUACAUUACAAUAGUUUGGACCCAUGAUUACAGUAACACAAAUUUUGAAGAAAGUUAUGCACUAUCUAUAAGCAUGUUCAUAGUAAGGAAGUUAAAGAUCUUAAAGUAUAUAAUAGGCACUAAUAAGGUCCUUAUUACAUUUAAGCAAAUUAAUAGUUGUGUUAUUUAUGCACUAUCUAGAGGAACGUGGAAUGUAUGAAAUAAUCUGAAAGCUAUUGGAAAAAUGGUUUCAUAUCAUUAUAUAUCCAAGUUUUCUAUCUUCUUCUCCAUGUUAUCUCAAUCUCUAAGCAAUUUCAUUGCUAAUACCUCGAUAUUGGUCCUAUUAUUCACUAAUCAACACUGUUCUUCAUCAAAAGCUAUUGUUCUUCAGCAAAUCAUAUAACCAACUUCAUUAGUUAGUUAAUCUCUUUGCCUUAGAUUUGAAGUGAGUCAGGUCACUAGGAUUUUCUCAACACAAUCCAUCUAACUUUACCAGACCCCCUUUCAAUUUCUGGAUGUACCGAAACUUGUCUCAUAUUCAAAGUUUCUCACUUUUUAAAAAGAACAGUAGGACAUCAAAUUAUAAGAAUACAACUCUCAGUUUAACACUACUAUCGUUUUCCUAACAACCAAAUAGUGCAGAAUAUAAUUGAUCAUGAAGGACCGUUAAUCCAUCCAUAAGUUCACUAUUAAAACAUCCUUUGAUAUGCAAUUGAAAUUGUUACAAAUGUUAUAUCAAACAACUAGUUCAAAUUACUGGUGUCUAUAUAAAGCAAAAGAAGAAACGUGCAUCUGUACGAAUUAUUUAUACAGUAAUUUUACACUAUGUAUAGAUUCGUAUAUAUAAUAGCACAAAUCCCUAAUACAGAGCUAGGUCUACUAUAAUAGAUAAUGAAAUCGAAGUAAAACCAGUGAAGUUACCAUUGAUUUCAUGUAAUUGUGGACGGAAUCGAUGUCAUCUGAAUCGAUGGCGGUUUGUGCGUCUUUAAAGGUUCGAGGGAACAGGGAGAGAACGGAGUGGCCAUGAAGCAGAUAGGGUAAAUCGGAGCUCGAAGGUUGAAUCAAAGCCAUGGUUCACGAUUCAUGAAGAUAAAACUUGACACCCUAGGCUUGAGGAUAGAGAAUGUGUCCACUUGCUUGGAGGUUGACAGAAAUGAUGGAGGAGGGGUAUCCAUCCAGCCCUAGAACAAGAAGAUCUAAAUCUGAUUUCUUUUUGGGUUUAUAGCAAAAGAU